This 460-nucleotide ribosomal RNA is filed under the name uncultured bacterium. RNAcentral describes it as "partial 16S ribosomal RNA". It matches the Rfam family "Bacterial small subunit ribosomal RNA", at positions 338 to 795 of the family's 1533-position model. The record is from RNAcentral.
CCUACGGGUGGCAGCAGUGAGGAAUAUUGGUCAAUGGACGGAAGUCUGAACCAGCCAUGCCGCGUGCAGGAAGACGGCUCUAUGAGUUGUAAACUGCUUUUGUACAAGGGUAAACCUGAAUACGUGUAUUCAGCUGAAAGUACUGUACGAAUAAGGAUCGGCUAACACCGGGCCAGCCGCCGCGGUAAUACGGGGGAUCCAAGCGUUAUCCGGUUUUAUUGGGUUUUAAGGGUGCGGAGGCGGAGUGAUAAGUUAGAGGUGAAAUGUCCGAGCUUAACUCGGGACCUGCCUCUAAUACUGUUGAUCUAGAGAGUAAGUGCGGUAGGCGGAAUGUAUGGUGUAGCGGUGAAAUGCUUAGAGAUCAUACAGAACACCGAUUGCGAAGGCAGCUUACCAAUCUAUAUCUGACGUUGAGGCACGAAAGCGUGGGGAGCAAACAGGAUUAGAUACCCUGGUAGUC